CUAGACUCUUUUGUCAGUUCGAACUCAGUAGUCCAAAUAUGACUCUUUAAACCUUCAUUUUUUUUAUCAAAAAAUUAUUAUCACACUGAAGACACAUCUUCAGAGGUGCGAAAGAACUCUUUCAAUAUUUGAAAAAUUUUCUCCCACAGAGCAUUAUCGAAUUUACAACUAAAUUCAUAUUCUUUACUGCUCUCAGUAACACCAC
Molecule: long non-coding RNA, 205 nt
Filed under: Elaeis guineensis (African oil palm)
Lineage: Eukaryota; Viridiplantae; Streptophyta; Magnoliopsida; Arecales; Arecaceae
Description: long non-coding RNA (EGUI_LNC080155)
Source: RNAcentral